Molecule: long non-coding RNA, 203 nt
Filed under: Elaeis guineensis (African oil palm)
Lineage: Eukaryota; Viridiplantae; Streptophyta; Magnoliopsida; Arecales; Arecaceae
Description: long non-coding RNA (EGUI_LNC034958)
Source: RNAcentral
GCAGUAAUAGCAAGUAUCUUUGGUGGAGACCUUUUUCGCCUUCUUCUUGGAGAUGCUAGCCUUAGGGUCCAAUUUUUUCUUAAAAUCCUUCUUGCCUUUCUUCUUGUUGAUCUUAUCUACAAGAAGAACUAGAGCCUUUUCAUAUUUGAAAUGGCUCUAUGCUAUUUUUAGCAUAUUCAGCAGUACAGACAAGCUAAUGUUCA